UGCCAGCAUGACCACCUUGAGAGUCAUGGGCAGAGAUGACACUUUGUACAUGUUAAAAUUUAUAAUACUUAUUUAUAAUUGUACCUAGUGAACUUUUUAAUUCAAUAAAUUCCUAUUUAUAUCAUUGCUUUGAAACAGGCAAUACUUGUUGAGGGGCUAUAAUGUUCAUAAAAUAGUCAGAAAAGCAAAUAAAGGAUAUUUUGAAUAAGCGUUACUGUGAAAUCAUUUCAAAAGCAUGUACUUGUUAUUAAUGACAGGCAGUGCGUUAUGUGCCUCUGGCUUGGCAUCCUGUCUCUGGAGUACAUGUUGUAAAGGAAGAAAAAAACACAAGUGAAACUUGCUCACGUGGUUUGCAGUCACUGAACGUAGAUCAGCUCCUGUGAAAACAAACUCCAUGGGUUUUCUUUGAUGGCAGUUCUGCUCUAAAGAUGGAUAAGGAAGGAGGUUCCAAGAUGGCCGAAUAAGAACACCUCCAGUCUACAGUUCCCAGUGUGAGCGACGCAGAAGAUGGGGGAUUUCUGCAUUUCCAACUGAGAAUACAGGAGCUAUGUGGAGAAUUGAUGGAAGGACAUUCCAGACAGAGAGAACAGCAAACACAAAGGCCUCGAAGUGUGAGCCUGCUUGGCAUAUUUGAGGGAACUUGAGGAUGAAAUA
Long non-coding RNA from Rhinopithecus roxellana (golden snub-nosed monkey), 654 nucleotides. RefSeq lists it as uncharacterized. The record is from RefSeq and is a predicted model, not a curated record. The transcript is spliced from 4 exons. NCBI's taxonomy places the organism in Eukaryota, Metazoa, Chordata, Mammalia, Primates, Cercopithecidae.